This 253-nucleotide ribosomal RNA is filed under the name uncultured bacterium. RNAcentral describes it as "partial 16S ribosomal RNA". It matches the Rfam family "Bacterial small subunit ribosomal RNA", at positions 524 to 776 of the family's 1533-position model. The record is from RNAcentral.
UACGGAAGGUGCAAGCGUUAAUCGGAAUUACUGGGCGUAAAGGGCGCGUAGGCGGCCCGUUAAGUCGAACGUGAAAUCCCCAGGCUCAACCUGGGAACUGCGUCCGAUACUGGCGGGCUUGAAUCCGGGAGAGGGAUGCGGAAUUCCAGGUGUAGCGGUGAAAUGCGUAGAGAUCCGGAGGAACACCGAAGGCGAAGGCAGUGUCCUGGCGCGUAACUGACGCUGAGGUGCGAAAGCCAGGGGAGCGAACGGG